This 705-nucleotide ribosomal RNA is filed under the name Salmonella enterica. RNAcentral's name for it is "partial 23S ribosomal RNA". It matches the Rfam family "Bacterial large subunit ribosomal RNA", at positions 2238 to 2925 of the family's 2925-position model. Lineage: Bacteria; Pseudomonadati; Pseudomonadota; Gammaproteobacteria; Enterobacterales; Enterobacteriaceae. The record is from RNAcentral.
AUCCGGGUUGCGGACAGUGUCUGGUGGGUAGUUUGACUGGGGCGGUCUCCUCCUAAAGAGUAACGGAGGAGCACGAAGGUUGGCUAAUCCUGGUCGGACAUCAGGAGGUUAGUGCAAUGGUAUAAGCCAGCUUGACUGCGAGCGUGACGGCGCGAGCAGGUGCGAAAGCAGGUCAUAGUGAUCCGGUGGUUCUGAAUGGAAGGGCCAUCGCUCAACGGAUAAAAGGUACUCCGGGGAUAACAGGCUGAUACCGCCCAAGAGUUCAUAUCGACGGCGGUGUUUGGCACCUCGAUGUCGGCUCAUCACAUCCUGGGGCUGAAGUAGGUCCCAAGGGUAUGGCUGUUCGCCAUUUAAAGUGGUACGCGAGCUGGGUUUAGAACGUCGUGAGACAGUUCGGUCCCUAUCUGCCGUGGGCGCUGGAGAACUGAGGGGGGCUGCUCCUAGUACGAGAGGACCGGAGUGGACGCAUCACUGGUGUUCGGGUUGUCAUGCCAAUGGCACUGCCCGGUAGCUAAAUGCGGAAGAGAUAAGUGCUGAAAGCAUCUAAGCACGAAACUUGCCCCGAGAUGAGUUCUCCCUGAGACUUAAAGUCUCCUGAAGGAACGUUGAAGACGACGACGUUGAUAGGCCGGGUGUGUAAGCGCAGCGAUGCGUUGAGCUAACCGGUACUAAUGAACCGUGAGGCUUAACCUUACAACGCCGAAG